Molecule: ribosomal RNA, 433 nt
Filed under: uncultured bacterium
Lineage: Bacteria
Description: partial 16S ribosomal RNA
Rfam family: Bacterial small subunit ribosomal RNA
Source: RNAcentral
AACGAACGCUGGCGGCAUGCCUAACACAUGCAAGUCGAACGAGACCUUCGGGUCUAGUGGCGCACGGGUGCGUAACGCGUGGGAACCUGCCCUUAGGUUCGGAAUAACUCCCCGAAAGGGGUGCUAAUACCGGAUAAUGUCUUCGGACCAAAGAUUUAUCGCCUUUGGAUGGGCCCGCGUUGGAUUAGCUAGUGGGUAGGGUAAAAGCCUACCAAGGCGACGAUCCAUAGCUGGUCUGAGAGGAGGAUAAGCCACACUGGGACUGAGACACGGCCCAGACUCCUACGGGGGGCAGCAGUGGGGAAUAUUGGACAAGGGGCGAAAGCCUAAUCCAGCAAUGCCGCGUGAGUGAUGAAGGCCUUAGGGUUGUAAAGCUCUUUUACCCGGGAUGAUAAUGACAGUACCGGGAGAAUAAGCUCCGGCUAACUCCGUG